RNAcentral lists this ribosomal RNA (253 nucleotides) under uncultured bacterium. RNAcentral's name for it is "partial 16S ribosomal RNA". It matches the Rfam family "Bacterial small subunit ribosomal RNA", at positions 524 to 776 of the family's 1533-position model. The record is from RNAcentral.
UACGGAGGGUGCGAGCGUUGUCCGGAAUCAUUGGGCGUAAAGGGCGCGUAGGUGGCCCGCUCAGCGUGCGGUGAAAGCCUGGGGCUCAACCCCGGGUCGGCCGUGCGAACUGGUGGGCUCGAGCACUGUAGAGGCAGGCGGAAUUCCGGGUGUAGCGGUGGAAUGCGUAGAUAUCUGGAGGAACACCGGUGGCGAAGGCGGCUACCUGGACCGGUUCUGACGCUGAGGCGCGAAAGCGUGGGUAGCAAACAGG